GACGAACGCUGGCGGCGUGCUUAACACAUGCAAGUCGAACGGUGAAGCGCCUUCCUUUUUAGUGGGUGUGGAUGAGUGGCGAACGGGUGAGUAACACGUGAGUAACCUGCCCCCUUCUUCUGGAUAACCGCAUGAAAGUGUGGCUAAUACGGGAUAUUCUGGGUCUGUCGCAUGAUGGGUCUGGGAAAGAUAUUGUUUCGGUGGGGGAUGGGCUCGCGGCCUAUCAGCUUGUUGGUGGGGUGAUGGCCUACCAAGGCGGUGACGGGUAGCCGGCCUGAGAGGGUGGACGGUCACACUGGGACUGAGACACGGCCCAGACUCCUACGGGAGGCAGCAGUGGGGAAUAUUGCACAAUGGGCGCAAGCCUGAUGCAGCGACGCCGCGUGAGGGAUGAAGGCCUUCGGGUUGUGAACCUCUUUCGCCAGUGAAGCAGGCCUGCCUCGUUUGUGGGUGGGUUGACGGUAGCUGGAGAAGAAGCGCCGGCUAACUACGUG
Molecule: ribosomal RNA, 494 nt
Filed under: uncultured bacterium
Lineage: Bacteria
Description: partial 16S ribosomal RNA
Rfam family: Bacterial small subunit ribosomal RNA
Source: RNAcentral